GGGUGCAGUUUCGGAUAUUGGGCGUAAGAGCUCGUAGGCGGUUUGUCGCGUCUGUCGUGAAAGUCCGGGGCUUAACCCCGGAUCUGCGGUGGGUACGGGCAGACUAGAGUGCAGUAGGGGAGACUGGAAUUCCUGGUGUAGCGGUGGAAUGCGCAGAUAUCAGGAGGAACACCGAUGGCGAAGGCAGGUCUCUGGGCUGUAACUGACGCUGAGGAGCGAAAGCAUGGGGAGCGAACAGGAUUAGAUACCCUGGUAGUCCAUGCCGUAAACGUUGGGCACUAGGUGUGGGGACCAUUCCACGGUUUCCGCGCCGCAGCUAACGCAUUAAGUGCCCCGCCUGGGGAGUACGGCCGCAAGGCUAAAACUCAAAGGAAUUGACGGGGGCCCGCACAAGCGGCGGAGCAUGCGGAUUAAUUCGAUGCAACGCGAAGAACCUUACCAAGGCUUGACAUGUUCUCGAUCGCCGUAGAGAUACGGUUUCCCCUUUGGGGCGGGUUCACAGGUGGUGCAUGGUUGUCGUCAGCUCGUGUCGUGAGAUGUUGGGUUAAGUCCCGCAACGAGCGCAACCCUCGUUCCAUGUUGCCAGCACGUCGUGGUGGGGACUCAUGGGAGACUGCCGGGGUCAACUCGGAGGAAGGUGAGGACGACGUCAAAUCAUCAUGCCCCUUAUGUCUUGGGCUUCACGCAUGCUACAAUGGCCGGUACAAUGGGUUGCGAUACUGUGAGGUGGAGCUAAUCCCAAAAAGCCGGUCUCAGUUCGGAUUGGGGUCUGCAACUCGACCCCAUGAAGUCGGAGUCGCUAGUAAUCGCAGAUCAGCAACGCUGCGGUGAAUACGUUCCCGGGCCUUGUACACACCGCCCGUCAAGUCACGAAAGUUGGUAACACCCGAAGCCGGUGGCCUAACCCUUGUGGGGGGAACCCUCCAAAGGUGGAACCGCAAUUGGAUAUAAAAAAAACCC
Molecule: ribosomal RNA, 960 nt
Filed under: Micrococcus luteus
Lineage: Bacteria; Bacillati; Actinomycetota; Actinomycetes; Micrococcales; Micrococcaceae
Description: bacterial SSU rRNA
Rfam family: Bacterial small subunit ribosomal RNA
Source: RNAcentral